Molecule: long non-coding RNA, 414 nt
Filed under: Citrus x clementina
Lineage: Eukaryota; Viridiplantae; Streptophyta; Magnoliopsida; Sapindales; Rutaceae
Description: Citrus clementina (C. clementina) long non-coding RNA (CCLE_LNC005644)
Source: RNAcentral
AUUCUCAGAAGAUAUUAUUUUGUUUAGAUUAAAUUACAAAAAGAAAUAACGUAAUUUUUAUUAAGAAAAGUCCGAACAAAUGCUUCUUCUACCCCUCAAGGAAAACAUUCACAGCUUCCAUGCCGCUCCUCUUCAUGCCAUCACUAUCUCAAAGCUUCAUUAUGUUGCCACUAAUCGCGCUCCCACGCAACACCAUGGUAGACUAAGACGAAGUUGAAGCAGAGGAAAGAGUGGUGAUGGGAAAAAAUUGAAAGGAAUUAUGUGUGCGUGAUUGACAAGGCAUGUCGGUAAUUGAAUGAAACUUUUUCUUUCAUUGAAUUUUAUUGGUGGAGUUGAAAUUACUUGCUUGAAAAUUAUGUUUUUGUUUGAUUCCAGCAAAUAUCAAUGAGAUUGAUUUUAUUUUAUUUUUUUAAU